Molecule: long non-coding RNA, 601 nt
Filed under: Olea europaea subsp. europaea
Lineage: Eukaryota; Viridiplantae; Streptophyta; Magnoliopsida; Lamiales; Oleaceae
Source: RNAcentral
AUCUAAUCAGUCCACCGCAAGUUAAUCAUAAAAUGGUACUUUGAUUAAAAUAACAGCAAUUUGGUGUUCCUAUAUUGUUUUUUUUACAAGAAUUCACAUCCCGAUUCCCUAUUUAAAAAAAUAAAAUCUAAUGUUUUUAUAAUUGUUGAAGACAAGGUGAUGAGAAUCGUACCAAAUAUUUCCUCUCUGUAAUCCUUCGAUCUGCAGCUUUAAUUCGUUCCCUCUUGUGGUUAUUGUUUCAUCUCUUGGUUUCUUGAUUUUUCUUUGAUUUGUUCUUCCCUUUUGGCUCACAAAUUCGUUUCUCGUCUGCCUACGGCUUUAUAUGUACUCUCAAAUAAGAAGCCUUUUCAUGGAGAGGGUGGAGAAGGUGGCGGCGAUUUGCUAAUGGAGGUUUCGCCUCUUAGUAAAGAAAGUGCCGUGUUUGGAAGUCGAAGGCCCAUUUGACUUUUCCUUUAAUUUUAUGGAUUAUUAAACUCUUAUGGGUCAUUAAGAGUAAUAAAUUCUAAACCACGAUUUUUGUCUCAACUGCAGAAAUGGGAAGAUUCUCCUGCAUACCCAAAUCUUGUCAUUUAAUUCAACUAAUGGCUUCAGUUCAGUCCCA